RNAcentral lists this unclassified non-coding RNA (243 nucleotides) under Phaeotremella sp. RNAcentral's name for it is "partial contains 5.8S ribosomal RNA, internal transcribed spacer 2, and large subunit ribosomal RNA". The stretch from base 1 to 52 matches the Rfam family "5.8S ribosomal RNA", at positions 103 to 154 of the family's 154-position model. Lineage: Eukaryota; Fungi; Basidiomycota; Tremellomycetes; Tremellales; Phaeotremellaceae. The record is from RNAcentral. RNAcentral also lists the same sequence under 1 other name.
AACGCACAUUGCGCCCCUCGGUAUUCCGGGGGGCAUGCCUGUUCGAGCGUCAUUACUCCCCUCAAGCGUAGCUUGGUAUUGGGUCCUCGUCCCCGGGGCGUGCCCGAAAAGCAGUGGCGGCCCGGCGUGGAUUCAAGCGUAGUAAACGUAUCAACCGCUCUGAAGAAGCCUCGCGGCCGGCCAGCAACCGCCUAACUUUUGAAAAUCGACCUCGGAUCAGGUAGGGAUACCCGCUGAACUUAA